AGAUUAUCCAUGCAUGUGAGGGCAUAAAUUAUUUGCCUGCAUACAGCUCAUUAAAACAAAAAUAACUUACCCUCUAAUUAAUUCGAAUAACAUUGCUAAUUGUGAUGCUAAUACGUGAUAACAAAUAAUCAUUAUAAUCCUUAUAAUAACAACAUGUUAAGGAAAAUUAUAAGGUAUUUAGACAAUUCUUAAGUGGCAAGGUUUUUGAUCUAUCAGCUACAGACGGUUAUGUAUUGGAUAACCGUGGCAUUUACGGAUAACGGGGAAUUAGGGUUUGAUUCCGGAGAGAGCGCAUGAGAGUUUGCGCUUACAGCUNAGGUUGGCAGCAGGAGCGAAAACUUUUCUAAUGAGCGAGGCUUGAANAGGUGACAAAUUGUAUUAACAUCAGCUUUUUGUUGGUGAUUGAAAUGAAAUAUUUUUAAGUUAAAUAUUAAUUAGCAAGUUCAGGGCAAGUCUGGUGCCAGCAGCCGCGGUAAUACCAGCUGAGCUAAGGAUGGGUAAUACUGUUGCAGUAAAAACAUUCGUAGUCACUUGAUUUGUUCUAUAUAUAGUUUAACUAUUAAUAGUGUUCAAAACUUAUUUUUCGCGAUUAAAUUAAAUUGAUUAAAUUGAAUGAUGUAUAAUAAAGCGCGAGAAACCUGAUGAUACCUUUUUGCGAAUUUAUCCGAUUUUGUUAAAAGGAAUAAAUAGUAAAAAUAAGAGAGGAUGGUGGUACUUACCAGCUAGAGGUGAAAUUCUUAGAUUUGGUAAUGACUCACAACUGCAAAAGCAUCCGUCCAGCUUAUUUUUGGUGAUCAAGAAUUAAAGUGUGGGGAUCGAAGAGGAUUAGAUACCCUCGUAGUCCACACCCUAAACUAUGUCAACUAGUGAUUGGUAGAAAUAUAAAUUCCAUCAGAACCUUAGC
Molecule: ribosomal RNA, 904 nt
Filed under: uncultured eukaryote
Lineage: Eukaryota
Description: bacterial SSU rRNA
Rfam family: Eukaryotic small subunit ribosomal RNA
Source: RNAcentral